GCCAAAAUGGUGUAGCAGUCUCAGUGUUGGACUGCGACUCUGGAGACCAGGGUUCAAAUCCCUGCUUGGCCA
This is a non-coding RNA of Phrynosoma platyrhinos (Desert horned lizard), 72 nucleotides long. The record is from the annotation of a GenBank genome assembly. NCBI's taxonomy places the organism in Eukaryota, Metazoa, Chordata, Lepidosauria, Squamata, Phrynosomatidae.